Molecule: non-coding RNA, 86 nt
Organism: Acanthosepion pharaonis
Lineage: Eukaryota; Metazoa; Mollusca; Cephalopoda; Sepiida; Sepiidae
Source: the annotation of a GenBank genome assembly
CAUGUUCCCGUACUAUUACCGAAGUUAAGCAACGUCGUGCCUGAUCAGUACCAUGAUGGUUGACCGCUUGGGAAUACCAGGCGAUG